UUCUACAGCCAUAGCACCCUAAAUGUACCUGAUCUCGUCCAAUCUCGGAAGCUAAGCAGGGUUGGGCCUACUUAGUACUUGGAUGGGAGAAAAUACAUUGUUAUAUGAU
Molecule: ribosomal RNA, 109 nt
Organism: Aotus nancymaae (Ma's night monkey)
Lineage: Eukaryota; Metazoa; Chordata; Mammalia; Primates; Aotidae
Source: Ensembl